GAAAUGCGAUAAGUAAUGUGAAUUGCAGAAUUCAGUGAAUCAUCGAAUCUUUGAACGCACAUUGCGCCCGCCAGCACUCUGGCGGGCAUGUCUGUUCGAGCGUCAUUUCAACCCUCAGAACCCCUUGCGGUAUCUGGCGUUGGGGAUUGGCAUCCAGCCAGCCCCGAAAUCUAGUGGCGGUCCCUCCGCGACCUCCCCUGUGCAGUAGCGAUACCUCGCAGCGGGACAGCGGUCUGACCACGCCGUAAAACCCCCAACUUCUCAAGGUUGACCUCGAAUCAGGUAGGAAUACCCGCUGAACUUAAGC
RNAcentral lists this unclassified non-coding RNA (307 nucleotides) under plant metagenome. RNAcentral's name for it is "partial contains 5.8S ribosomal RNA, internal transcribed spacer 2, and large subunit ribosomal RNA". The stretch from base 1 to 105 matches the Rfam family "5.8S ribosomal RNA", at positions 50 to 154 of the family's 154-position model. The record is from RNAcentral.